RNAcentral lists this ribosomal RNA (447 nucleotides) under uncultured organism. RNAcentral describes it as "partial 16S ribosomal RNA". It matches the Rfam family "Bacterial small subunit ribosomal RNA", at positions 334 to 797 of the family's 1533-position model. The record is from RNAcentral.
CACUCCUACGGGAGGCAGCAGUGGGGAAUAUUGGACAAUGGGCGCAAGCCUGAUCCAGCCAUGCCGCGUGGGUGAUGAAGGCCCUAGGGUUGUAAAGCUCUUUCACCGGAGAAGAUAAUGACGGUAUCCGGAGAAGAAGCCCCGGCUAACUUCGUGCCAGCAGCCGCGGUAAUACGAAGGGGGCUAGCGUUGUUCGGAAUUACUGGGCGUAAAGCGCACGUAGGCGGAUCGAUCAGUCAGGGGUGAAAUCCCAGGGCUCAACCCUGGAACUGCCUUUGAUACUGUCGAUCUGGAGUAUGGAAGAGGUGAGUGGAAUUCCGAGUGUAGAGGUGAAAUUCGUAGAUAUUCGGAGGAACACCAGUGGCGAAGGCGGCUCACUGGUCCAUUACUGACGCUGAGGUGCGAAAGCGUGGGGAGCAAACAGGAUUAGAUACCCCUGUAGUCCCA